This 376-nucleotide transfer-messenger RNA is filed under the name Phaeodactylibacter sp. It matches the Rfam family "transfer-messenger RNA". From Rfam's summary of the family: Bacterial tmRNA, also known as 10Sa RNA or SsrA, is named for its dual tRNA and mRNA-like properties. Lineage: Bacteria; Pseudomonadati; Bacteroidota; Saprospiria; Saprospirales; Haliscomenobacteraceae. The record is from RNAcentral.
GGGGACGUAAUGGAAUCGACAGGGGAGUUAACUGGUAAGUAAGCAUGCCGGAGUACAAUAGCUCACCUCCGUCAACAACUGGCUAUUAACCAAUCUCAAAUGGCAAUACUCAGUAUGCCAUGGCUGCCUAAUUCUAGGAAUUAGAAAGCCUUUGUGCCGUGCGCUUGACGCCUGAUACACAGUGUGCCGCACAUCAACCACUUUCAGGCUAGCUUUGGGGUUUUCCUCGCCUCCGAAGCGAAGCUUAAGAGGAUAAGGGAUGAAUUGGGAGGGUUUCCAAUCCUAUCUCAUCCCCGACAAUUCAACUGGAAACUAAGCAUGUAGAAGGCUUAUUAGUGCUUUCGCUGGACGCGAGUUCGACUCUCGCCGUCUCCAC